Long non-coding RNA from Trematomus bernacchii (emerald rockcod), 355 nucleotides. RefSeq lists it as uncharacterized. The transcript has 3 exons. The record is from RefSeq and is a predicted model, not a curated record. NCBI's taxonomy places the organism in Eukaryota, Metazoa, Chordata, Actinopteri, Perciformes, Nototheniidae.
UUAUUUAGUCUUGUCUUCCCCUGUGCUCCAUGUCGGUUCGUUGUCUUUCCUUUCACGUCACGCUCCAUGUUUGUCCCUGAAGUUUUUGGUCCUGGAUUCCUUACUCGUGCUCCCCUGAUUUGUGUACCUGUGGGGGCGUGGCCUGAGCGAGGGGGCACAGGGGGGGUCUGCAGGAUGAUGGUGUCACUGCAGGACGACAGCCUGACGGUCACCUCCUCGUCCAGGAUCCGACGUGGAGCCUGAAGGAGGAGAAAGUGGUUAAUCUGCUCACCUUCUCCAGCACCUUGCAGACAUAUUGGCACCAGAGGAUGAGGACGAUGAUGAUGACUAACAUCAGGAUGAUGGUGACCAGGCA